RNAcentral lists this ribosomal RNA (253 nucleotides) under uncultured bacterium. Its description in RNAcentral is "partial 16S ribosomal RNA". It matches the Rfam family "Bacterial small subunit ribosomal RNA", at positions 524 to 776 of the family's 1533-position model. The record is from RNAcentral.
UACGAAGGGGGCUAGCGUUGCUCGGAAUCACUGGGCGUAAAGGGUGCGUAGGCGGGUCUUUAAGUUAGGGGUGAAAUCCUGGAGCUCAACUCCAGAACUGCCUUUGAUACUGAGGAUCUUGAGUUCGGGAGAGGUGAGUGGAACUGCGAGUGUAGAGGUGAAAUUCGUAGAUAUUCGCAAGAACACCAGUGGCGAAGGCGGCUCACUGGCCCGAUACUGACGCUGAGGCACGAAAGCGUGGGGAGCAAACGGG